UACAGAGGGUGCGAGCGUUAAUCGGAAUUACUGGGCGUAAAGCGUGCGUAGACGGUUAUUUAAGUCGGGUGUAAAAGCCCCGGGCUCAACCUGGGAAUUGCAUUCGAGACUGAAUAGCUAGGGUACGGUAGAGGGAAGCGGAAUUUCCGGUGUAGCGGUGAAAUGCGUAGAUAUCGGAAGGAACAUCAGUGGCGAAAGCGGCUUCCUGGACCAGUACCGACGUUCAGGCACGAAAGCGUGGGGAGCAAACAGG
Molecule: ribosomal RNA, 253 nt
Filed under: uncultured bacterium
Lineage: Bacteria
Description: partial 16S ribosomal RNA
Rfam family: Bacterial small subunit ribosomal RNA
Source: RNAcentral